CGCGUGGGUAACCUGCCUUUAGGUUUGGGAUAACUCUGGGAAACCGGGGCUAAUGCCGAAUAAGACCACGAAGUCUUCGGGCUUCGAGGGAAAGAUGGCCUCUCCUUGAAAGCUAUCGCCAAUUGAUGAGCCCGCGUCUGAUUAGCUUGUUGGUGGGGUAACGGCCCACCAAGGCGACGAUCAGUAGCUGGUCUGAGAGGAUGAUCAGCCACACUGGAACUGAGACACGGUCCAGACUCCUACGGGAGGCAGCAGUCGGGAAUUUUGGGCAAUGGGCGAAAGCCUGACCCAGCAACGCCG
Molecule: ribosomal RNA, 300 nt
Filed under: uncultured delta proteobacterium
Lineage: Bacteria; Deltaproteobacteria
Description: bacterial SSU rRNA
Rfam family: Bacterial small subunit ribosomal RNA
Source: RNAcentral